UGCAAGUCGAACGAGAAUCUGUGGAAAGAGGAUUCGUCCAAUUGAAGCAGAGGACAGUGGCGGACGGGUGAGUAACGCGUGAGGAACCUGCCUUUCAGAGGGGGACAACAGUUGGAAACGACUGCUAAUACCGCAUAACAUAUAGAUGUCGCAUGGCAUUUAUAUCAAAGAUUUAUCGCUGAAAGAUGGCCUCGCGUCUGAUUAGCUAGUUGGUGAGGUAACGGCCCACCAAGGCGACGAUCAGUAGCCGGACUGAGAGGUUGAACGGCCACAUUGGGACUGAGAUACGGCCCAGACUCCUACGGGAGGCAGCAGUGGGGAAUAUUGGGCAAUGGGCGCAAGCCUGACCCAGCAACGCCGCGUGAAGGAAGAAGGCUUUCGGGUUGUAAACUUCUUUUGUCAGGGACGAGUAGAAGACGGUACCUGACGAAUAAGCCACGGCUAACUACGUGCCAGCAGCCGCGGUAAUACGUAGGUGGCAAGCGUUGCCCGGAUUUACUGGGUGUAAAGGGCGUGUAGCCGGGAGGGCAAGUCAGAUGUGAAAUCCACGGGCUCAACUCGUGAACUGCAUUUGAAACUACUCUUCUUGAGUAUCGGAGAGGCAAUCGGAAUUCCUAGUGUAGCGG
Molecule: ribosomal RNA, 626 nt
Filed under: uncultured bacterium
Lineage: Bacteria
Description: bacterial SSU rRNA
Rfam family: Bacterial small subunit ribosomal RNA
Source: RNAcentral